CGAUUUGGUUAAGAGUAUCAGGCUGAGCAAUAGCAUCAUAAAAAAUUGCAAUCUGAGAAUGUGCUACAAAGUGGAUUGCAGGAAAUGUGGAAAGUACAGCUGGGGCGGGUGUGGGAAGCACCUGACCACACUGUACGCCAGCAUUGACAAUGGGAAGCAUUGUAUGUGCAAAUCUUGGCCUGGGGUUGCUGUGAAUCAACACUCAGCAUCUUCAUCUUCAACCACCCAAGCUACAGCAACAUCCUGAACUUGAAGAAUGAGGACGCCCCGCCCCUUAGAAUGCUCCUACUGCCUUUACUUUGUUUUGGAAACCCCAUGUCUGUGUUUGAUUUUUCCUAAGUUUGCCUUUUAACUUCUUGUUGGGUGAAUAAUGUUGUGCAGCAGAUGUGAUGUGUGCUAUGCAAAUUGAGGUCAACCCCAGUUGACCAAACUAGUAUUCAAUAAAGUGAAUGAUGACUUCUGCUGUCUUUUUUA
Sesamum indicum (sesame) is the source of this 474-nucleotide non-coding RNA. NCBI's taxonomy places the organism in Eukaryota, Viridiplantae, Streptophyta, Magnoliopsida, Lamiales, Pedaliaceae. The record is from RefSeq and is a predicted model, not a curated record.